This 342-nucleotide unclassified non-coding RNA is filed under the name soil metagenome. RNAcentral's name for it is "partial contains 5.8S ribosomal RNA, internal transcribed spacer 2, and large subunit ribosomal RNA". The stretch from base 1 to 119 matches the Rfam family "5.8S ribosomal RNA", at positions 35 to 154 of the family's 154-position model. The record is from RNAcentral.
GAUGAAGAACGCAGCGAAAUGCGAUAAGUAAUGUGAAUUGCAGAAUUCAGUGAAUCAUCGAAUCUUUGAACGCACAUUGCGCCCCCUGGUAUUCGGGGGGCAUGCCUGUCCGAGCGUCAUUGCUGCCCUCAAGCACGGCUUGUGUGUUGGGCCUCCGUCCUCCUCCCGGGGGACGGGCCCGAAAGGCAGCGGCGGCACCGCGUCCGGUCCUCGAGCGUAUGGGGCUUCGUCACCCGCUCUUGUAGGCCCGGCCGGCGCUUGCCGACACAUCAAUCUUUUUUCCAGGUUGACCUCGGAUCAGGUAGGGAUACCCGCUGAACUUAAGCAUAUCAAUAAGCGGGA